This is a long non-coding RNA of Homo sapiens (human), 2567 nucleotides long. Ensembl annotates it as prostate androgen-regulated transcript 1. Its record names the gene PART1. NCBI's taxonomy places the organism in Eukaryota, Metazoa, Chordata, Mammalia, Primates, Hominidae. The record is from Ensembl.
GGCUCUGGAAAGCUGAAAGGGCUGCACUGGAACAACACAGAUGAGAUAUUCUACACAUUAAUCUACUUAUCUGGAAUCACUUUGCCUCUAAAGGCCAGAGAAAAAUCACAGCUUCCUUGUCGGAGGGGAAAAGGACAGGUGAUCUGGGGAAAACGCAGCUACACCUGGAGCAAGGUCUCUUCCCGGCUUGGCAAUCUCAGCUGUGCCGGCGCUACGGGACCCGAGCCGUCCCAGAAACCAAAGGGCAGGCACGGCAGCAAACGCCUGAGGACUGAGAAGACGUCAAGGUCCAGACACUCGUCAUUAACACCUACUCACAACCGAUUCCCCCACCCACUUUGGCCUCACCAAGAUUUGGCAAGCAGGAGAAUUAAAUGUCACUUUGCUACCAUCCUCUGCUGAACCUCCAACAGAAAAACCCAUAUUGCCCAAGUACAAAGCAUGAAAUACUGCUGGCCUACCCUGACUUUUCAGCUAUUCUCCUUGCAUAUAGUAAAUGACUCCCCAGGAGACAUCAUCUUAAAGUCUGAGACACAAAAAAGGACCCAAAGUCCUAUAUGCUUGAAGAAUUGCAUGGCAAUAUAUUUAGUUAACAUUUUCUAUUUUAUUAGAAAAAACAGACAAUUCAAUUGUCGAUGUGAUCGUUUCAGGCUUCCCAGCCUCUCCUUUCUGACAUCAUCCUAUAUACUACAACCUCCACCAGAAAAGCAGUAUGGUACUGGGAAAAAGAGAUCUAAAGGCAGAACACUAGGGCUUCACUCUCAGCACUGUUAACUGAGUGACUUGACUAAGUCACUGAAAUUCACUGAAACUGCAGUUUCCCCUUCUGUCAAAGGGGGAUAACAAUAUCAGCUUCACAGGGUGCUGUGAAGGAAGCAAAUGAGAAAAUGAAACCUGCCUUGUACUUCAUGCAGGUUGAACAGAAAUGUUUUCUGAGCAUGUAUUGUUACAGCCCUCUGAGAUGGUAUAAAAGAAUGAAAGAAGACACGACCUGCCUUCCAGGAGUUUCACAAAAAAGAUGGGAUGAACACAGUGUUCACUUCCACCUUCCACCCUUUCACUAUGAAGGACCCUCACCAGAUGGUGGCACCAUGCUCUCGGACUUCCCAGCCUCCAGAACUGGACGGGUAAAUUGAAGCAAAAAGCAGACAAGUUCUAUGGGAUUUGCUGGCAUUGAUUUCCCAGGAUGGCAAAGUGCUAAGAACUAAACCUUUAAAGCUAACAAAAUGUACUGAUGUCUUUGCAAAGUAUCCAAGACCAACAAGAAAGUAAUUUCCCACCUCACCCUACCACCACCCAGAAAAGGAGCACAGAGAUGGGGAAGAGAGUGGCUGCAUCUGGCAUCCAGCCAGAGGAGUCCGUGCAGGGAUUCUGGAUCCCUCUUCCCCCACCCCACUGCCCUUCCCCCUCCACCCCAGCGUUUUGGAGAAGCAAGAAACUGUGAUGAUGCAGCUCCCUCAAGUAUCACAUGAAGAUAGUGGAAAGAGCCUCCUGAGGUAAAUAUGCCAUGUAGACAGAAACAAGCAAUGGCUCAACAGCAAUGUAUGAGGUCCAAGGACCAGGACCAAAGGGAAAAACAGCCAUCUCACCAGACACCUGCCUACGACCAGAUGCGUCAUCUCCAAUAUUAGCUAACUCCCUGGAACCUGGACUCAAGGUGUGAAAUAAAGGUUAAUGGGAAACCGCAGGAGUCAAAAGGAGGGGGCAGGAUUAUUGAGGAUUCAGGCUGUUGAGAAAUGAAAGUUUGGAUCACUCCCCAGAUAAAGAACCUUGACCAUUUAAGGGCAAUGGAAAUACAGAAUAGGCAGUAGAAGAAGGAAGCCAUAGAUACCAACUAUGGCCUCUCAAUCAAUUACAAAACUGAGAAUUCUGACAGUUUUGUGUAUUUCCUCUUUGCAUGUGAUGUAUAUGUGUGUAUUUGUAUAUAUUAACCAUUUUCCUUUUUCUCUCUUCAUUAUUUUAUGAAAGUUGUUGAAUAUAAACUCUACAAUUUAGCCUUUAGGUAAGAGAAUAUUCAGUGGGACUUUGAUUUGAGGAGUAUUUAAGACAGCCAGAUGAGACUACGAUAACUGUUGGAACUGUGUGUCUCCUCAUUUGGGGAAAGGGGUGAGAACUCUGCAUUUCUCUGAAGAACAGAGUUGACUUUGUGUUAUACAGAGUUCAAAUAUAUAUAUAAAAUGGUGCAUGUGGAAGCUAAGAAGCCAAAGGAGUUCACCAAGACAGUUAUCAAUAUAUUGCCUCUCCGCUCCAAAUCCACCCUUCUUUGCCCUGUUCCACGAUACUAAUCUGGCUCCUCGGUCAGCCAGUGCAAUGUCAUCUGUUGCUGGUAGAGUGUAGGGGAGACACUACAAGGUAUAGUAAAGGGGUCAGAUGCGGUGUCUCAUGCCUGUAAUCACAGCCCUUUGGGAGGCAGAGGCAGGAGGAUCACCUGAGGCCAGGAGUUUGAGACCAGCCUGGACAACAUGGUAAAACCCCAUCUCUACUGAAAAUACAAAAUUAGCACGCACCUGUAAUCCCAGCUACUCGGGAGGCUGAGGCAGGAGAAUCACUUGAACCUGGGAGGUGGA